CAGCGUUGUCAGUGCUUCUUUGAUUCGUACACAGUAUUGUCAUUGUUAAAAACAAUAAAAUAAUGUAAUAAGUAUUUGUGACGUUUGAAAGCUUUUAAUUCGAAUAAUAUGGACCUGAAAAUAGUUGUACUAUGCGCUUGUCUCGCUUUUGCUAACGUCGCUGUAUCAAAACCCACAAGUAAUGAAGAGGUUCCAUGUAUAAACUGCGAGACUAAUGUGGCAGAAACACGACCAAAACGGCACAUAGAAAAAAUAAUUCAAGGAAUCGGAGAAUUGAUUACCAAUGUUUUAGUAAGAAAAAUCUACUUUGAAAUAAUUAACAAGGAAUACAAAAUAGAAAAAACGUUAA
Molecule: long non-coding RNA, 349 nt
Organism: Vanessa tameamea
Lineage: Eukaryota; Metazoa; Arthropoda; Insecta; Lepidoptera; Nymphalidae
Exons: 4
Source: RefSeq, a predicted model, not a curated record